RNA transcript from Phragmites australis (common reed), 1392 nucleotides. RefSeq lists it as uncharacterized. Lineage: Eukaryota; Viridiplantae; Streptophyta; Magnoliopsida; Poales; Poaceae. The record is from RefSeq and is a predicted model, not a curated record. The transcript is spliced from 3 exons.
UUCUCCGCACCCAGGAGGUCCCACACCAACUCAAACCCCCUCGAAAACCCUUCCCCAUCUCCGCCGCCGCUGCCUCCUCCUCCUCUUCCUCGCCGCCGAAACCCUAACCCUAGCAGCCGCGGCCCUCCCCCGGCGCCGUGCACCCCGGUUGCCGCCGCCAUGUCGAACCCUAGAGGAUCCAAGAUGCUCCAGUUCAUCAACUACCGCAUGCGCGUGACGAUCCAGGACGGCCGCCAGCUCGUGGGCAAGUUCAUGGCCUUCGACCGCCACAUGAAUCUCGUCCUCGGCGACUGCGAGGAGUUCCGCCGCCUCCCGCCCUCCAAGUCCUCCAAGACCACUGGCGACCGCGAGGAGCGCCGCACGCUCGGCCUCCUCCUCCUCCGCGGCGAGGAGGUCGUCUCCAUGACCGUCGAGGGCCCGCCGCCGCCCGACGAGUCCCGCGCCAAGGCCGCCGCGGCCGGGGGCGCGCUCGCGGGCCCGGGUGUUGGGCGCGCUGCCGGACGUGGGAUGCCCACCGGCCCGCUGCUCCAUGCCGCUCCGGGCCUCGCGGGACCGGUCAGGGGCGUCGGCGGGCCUGCCCCCGGCAUGAUGCAGCCCCAGAUCUCGCGGCCGCCGAUGCCGAACCUCUCAGCGCCGCCGGUGGCCUACCCGCAGGUCGUGCGCCCGCCGCCGGGGCAGAUGGUCCCGCCCAUGCGGCCUGGAAUGCCACCGCAGAUGCCAAUGCAGUUCCAACGCCCGCCUGCUCCGUUCCCUGGGGGACCGCCGCAGCAGUUCAUGAGGGGACCACCGCCGAUGGGGCCGCCACAGGUAAGGCCUGGGAUGCCGGGGCCACCACCGCCCGGGAUGAGGCCAGGGAUGCCUCCACCGCCUUUCGGACAACACAGGCCUGGGAUGCCGCCCCCGCCGCCUGGGCCGCAGCAGCCUGGACAGAACCCGCCGCAGUAGCUUCUUGCCUGAUCUGUCAAUUUGCUUGCCGUUCUCAUACCAGUAUACUUCUGAAUCCCCUUUGUUUUAUACCUUCUGGUUUGAAGUGUGAUAUAAGUGCAGUAGCAAGGUUAAGCUUCUUUGUGCCAUACCUAUGGAAGAUUUUCGUAAUGCGAGAAAGGAUCAUAAUCACACCUUAUGGAAAAUCCGCUGAUUCCACCGUUGCUUCACCAUUCCGUCUGUGUCCAGGUACUUAGUAUUGUGAGAAGAGAACCUUGUCAGUGUAGCACUCUUUGAUGGGAGGGGACUUUGUUCUGAUGCAAUGUACGUAAAGAGGCCAGAGCUUGUGUUAACUGUUAAGUUAGGGAUAUGGACAGCUUAUUUCAUCUUUGUCUGAAAUCUGAACCUUGUCAUCUUGUGAUUUUGGUGACCCUAUCCAGCAUAAUUGACUUGAGCUCUUCAGUUUGA